GUGAAUCAUCGAAUUUUUGAACGCAAAUUGCACUCUCUUCGGUGAGUAUGCGUGUUUGAGGGUCAGCCUAAAUAAAAUCGACAUCGUUGCUGUUUCGGGGUGGCGUUCGCCGGAAAUUGGGUUAUCUUAAUUCUUUGGUUUAAGCGACUUAGAAUUUUCUUUACGUUUUAAUGAACGUUUCAAUGAU
This 187-nucleotide unclassified non-coding RNA is filed under the name Glomus sp. RNAcentral's name for it is "partial contains 5.8S ribosomal RNA and internal transcribed spacer 2". The stretch from base 1 to 65 matches the Rfam family "5.8S ribosomal RNA", at positions 84 to 154 of the family's 154-position model. Lineage: Eukaryota; Fungi; Glomeromycota; Glomeromycetes; Glomerales; Glomeraceae. The record is from RNAcentral.